UCUUCAAAAACCUAAGCAAAAGCAAUUUCUGGGAAACUCUAGGGUUAUGAUUAAAAUCAGAGCAUUUCAACAAAGAGAGAAAUCAGAGAAUAGAGUUUCAGAGAAGGAGGACAAACACAAAGAUCUUAUCGAGCUUCGUCUCAGAAUGUGGACUACUUCCUCGUCGAGCUCGCCUUAGGGAUACAGCUCAGAGUUUCACUAUUCAGAUCAAGAACUUUGAGUGCAAUAGAUGAGGAUCCAUGCCACACAAAUCGACUGGUAAGCCUCAGAUAUUCUUUCCUUUAUCUCUGUUUUUCUUUAGUUGUUCCUCACAAUCACUCUUUCUAACUCUCUUUUCUUUCUAUUACAUAAACCUCACGAGAACCACUCUGAAUCUCACUCAAGUUUGGAGAUCAAAACACUUCAGGAGCUUCAAGAAUCAGAUAAUCGAACUUCUCUCUGUACCUAGUUUUUUUAUAGACGGUGUUUGUAGCUAGAUCUGACUGGAAAUUGUUUUGAGUAGUUUGUUAUUUUCUGUUUGAGUGUUUCUGCUGAAUGCUAUGUAUAUUGGCUUACCACGUUGUACUUUAAUUUGCUCUGGGUAGUUGAGUUCUUGAUCUGUUGUAACUGAUUUUGUAUGAAAGCUUAUAAGGGAAUUUAAAACAACAAAUUCCACCUAAAUUCUCUUAUAAGUGUCCUAGGUAUAGUGAAACACAAUCCCUGAGGGCCCUUAAUCUGUUAGUAAUGGUUAUCCUCCAUUACUAAUACCUAAUAAGUCCAUACAGUACUUGAACUUAGUUAGGUUUAGGAUCUUAGUACCCAUAUCUGCAGGAUUCUCCUCUAUAGGCACCUUUUCUAUUUUAAUGACUUCUUGUGAUAACUUGUCUCUAAUGAAAUGAUACUUGAUCUCCACAUGUUUUGUUCUAUCAUGGAACAUAGAAUUCUUGUAUAGGUGAAUACAUCUUUGAUUGUCCGAGUAUAUUAUAGGGGUUUCUUCUAGUAACCUUAGUUCUUCCAUUAUCCCGUUUAGCCAUAAAGCCUCCUUAAUAGCCUCUGUAACUGCUACAUAUUCUGACUCUGUUGUAGACAAAGCAACUAUAGGUUGUAGCUGAACUCUCCAACUAACACAGUUAUCUCCCACUAGGAAAUAGUAAGCUGAUGUAGACUUUCUGUGAUCUUUGUCCCCAGCAAAAUCAGCAUCAUUUUAUCCCUCUAUUAGCUUACUGUUAUAGUGCUUAGUGAACCUUAGACCAAUGUCAGUAGUGCCCAGUAGAUACCUGAAUACCCAUUUCAUUGCCCUCCAAUUCUCUAACCCAAGAUUUUCCAUAUACUUACUAAGGACACUUAUAGAGUAAGCUAAAUCCGGUCUUGUGCAUACCAUAAGAUACAUAAUAGAGCCAACUGCAUUUGAGUAGGGUACAUUAUCCAUCUCUUCUCUUUCUGCUUGUGUUUUAGGGCAUUAUUCCUUGCUUAGACAGUAUUGGUUAGUUAUAGGCUGUUUGAUUGUCUUUGCUCCUUUCAUUACAAAUUUCUCUAUGAUUUUCUAUAUGUAGUCUUUCUGAGUUAGGGUUAGGACUCCUUUUUCUAUAUCCAUCUUGAUACAUAUCCCUAGGAUCUUAGUAGCUUCUCCCAGGUCCUUCAUUUCAAAUUCUGACUUAAGCCAUCCUUUCAUGAGUUCUACUUUGGACCUUUCUUUACUAAUAAUGAGCAUGUCAUCUACAUAGAGCAGUAGGUAGAUGACUUCUUCAAUUCUACUUCCUUUCUAGUAGAGGCAGGUAUCAUAAUAGCUCCUGUUGAAUCCUUUCUUACUCAUAAAUUCAUCAAACUUCUUAUUCCAUUGCCUAGGUGAUUGCAUAAGACCAUAUAGGGAUUUAAUUAGCUUGUAUACCUUAUUUUCCUUUCCUUUAACCUAAAAGCCUCUUGGUUGUUCCAUAUAUAUGUCUCUUCUAGUUCACCGUGUAGGAAAGCUGUGGUGACAUCCAUUUGGUCCACUUCCAUGCUAUAUUGAGUAGCUAAUCCCAGCAUAAUCCUUAUAGUCUUAUACUUAACUACUGGGGAGAAAAUUUCUGUGAAGUCUAUGCCUUCCUUUUGGAUAAAACCUUUAACCACUAGGAUUACCUUCAUCUCUGCCUUCCUUCAACUUAUACAACCAUUUACAUGCCACUAUACUUUUGUUUUUAGGUUUAGACACCAAUUUCCAGAUCUGAUUCUUUAUUAGUGAAGCCAUUUCCUCAUUCAUAGCCUUAAUUCAAUGUUUAGAAUCCUUGUCUUUCGUAGCUUCUUCAUAGGUAGAUGGUUAUGUUCUGUUUAACCCCGUAGCACUUACAAAAGCAUAGGCUAGAAUGUCCUCCCAGGCAUUAAAACUGAAUUUCUAAUUUGGCUUUGAUGUCCUUUUAGCUCUAUCUCGGGUUAGUUGAUAAUCAACCAGUGAUUCUGCUUCUGGUUGCUCUUCAUGGUUUGGUUCCACCUGAUCUGUAUUCUCGGGUACCAUUUCUUUUUGUGCUGGUUCAUUUUGUAGUUGCUUCUUGCAUGUUUUCCACCUGAUCAAUGUUAAGUUCUUGUAUUCUAACUUGUGCAUGAUCUGUCUUUGAUUGGUAAUUGAUAGUAGUACUUGCAUGGUUAGUAUCUAAAGACAUAUAUGCACUAAAAAUAAAGUUAGUAGUAAUACAAGGAAAAACAUCUUCUUUAAAAAUCACAUCCCUACUAAUAAUAGUUUUAAGACCAGUUUUUUCUUUUACCCAAAGUCUGUAACCUUUAGUGCCUUCUGGGUAACCUAGAAAAACACAUUUGAGAGUCCUAGGUUCUAGUUUUCCCACUCUGGUGUGCAUAGGCUGCACACCCGAAUUCCUUCAAAUUAGAUAAGAUCGAUAGGUGUCCAGUCCACAUUUCUUCAGGAGUUUUAAACUCUGUGGCACUGGAUGGACAUCUAUUUACUAAGUAGGCUACUGUUAAGAUCGUUUCUCCCCAGAACCCCUUAGCAAGACCAGAUUGCAACAUUAGACAUCUAACUUUAUUCAUUAGGGUCCUAUUCAUUCUUUCUGCUACCCCAUUUUGUUGUGGGGUUAGUCUAACUGUUCUAUGUCCUUGGAUACCUACUUCUCGAAAAUAUGAAUCAAAUUGGUCAUUACAUAAUUCUAGACCAUUAUCAAUUCUUAGGACCUUUUCAGGCCCCCAUAGAUCAGAAUGUACAUAUUCUAGGAUUCUUUUAGUUCUAUGCAUCCCUGUUUUAAAUCUAAGCCUAUGAUGUUUACCAAGAACACAUGAUUCACAAAAGUGAACCUUGCUUACCUUGUCUUUACCUAGUAGAUUCCGUUCACUCAUAAGUUGUAAGCUCUUCUCGCUAAUAUGGCCCAACCUAUCCCGCCGCUAAUAACCUUAACACUAUAGGCGGACUCAGUCCGCCUCUAAUUACACCGCCUCUAAUAUUAAAUUUUCUUAUAGUGUGUAAAUAGGAUAUAUUGUAGAGUUUUAUAUGAUAUGUAAUUUUUUUAGAAAUGAAGAUAAUGAUUCUUUCUAAGUUUGGUUUUGUAUUGACCCAUUGAAUCUGAUUUUUUUUUUUUUUUUUCAGAAUGAGUUUGGCAUGUUUGCUUGCAGCUGGUGACUCAGGCAUUUUUUUUUUCAAAUAGAAAUCUAAGUUUUUUUUCUUAGAAAAGUCUUCGAUAUAUAUUAUAUAUAUAUAUUCUAUAUAAAAAAUGUGUAGAUAAUGGAAAUUCUUGGUUUUAACGGUUUUUUA
Humulus lupulus (European hop) is the source of this 3712-nucleotide long non-coding RNA. RefSeq lists it as uncharacterized. The record is from RefSeq and is a predicted model, not a curated record. Lineage: Eukaryota; Viridiplantae; Streptophyta; Magnoliopsida; Rosales; Cannabaceae. The transcript is spliced from 2 exons.